UCCCGUUGAUCCUGCGGGAGGUCGCUGCUAUCAGAAUUCGACUUAACUAAGCUAGUUCAGGGGCUCUUCGGAGCACCGGCAGACAGUUCCAUAACACGUCGAUAAUCUAACCUUGCGUCAGGGAUAGCCUUGGGAAACUGAGGGUAACACCUGAUAUGAGAAAAAUACUGGAAUGUAUUUUCUUUCAAAGGCAACGCGCAAGGAUGAGUCGGCGUCCGAUUAGAUUGUUGGUGGGGUAACGGCCCACCAAGUCAAAGAUCGGUAGGGGCCUUGGGAGAGGUAGCCUCGAGGAGGACACUGAGAUAAGGGUCCUGACUCUACGGAGUAUAGCAAGUGCGAAAACUUUACAAUACACGAAAGUGUGAUAAGGGGAUUCUGAGUGCUUAUGCUCUGCAUAAGCUUUUGCCAAGUGUAAAAAGCUUGGAGAAUAAGUGGUGGGCAAGACUGGUGCCAGCAGCCGCGGUAACACCAGCGCCACAAGUGGGGGCCAGCAUUAUUGGGCUUAAAGCGUUCGUAGUCGGUUUGGUAAAUCUUUUGUGAAAUUGUUGGGCUCAACCCAACGUCGUGCAGAAGACACUACCAGACUAGAGACCGGGAGGGGUUAUGAAGUAUUUGCGGGGUAGCGGUAAAAUGCUAUAAUCCCGUGAGGACUACCAGUAGCGAAGGCGUCUAACCAGAACGGGUCUGACGAUGAGGAACGAAAGCCAGGGGAGCGAACCGGAUUAGAUACCCGAGUAGUCCUGGCCGUAAACGCUGCGAGUUAGGUGUUGCAUAUUCUCCGUGAAUAUGCAGUGUCGGAGCGAAAGCGUUAAACUCGCCGCCUGGGAAGUACGGUCGCAAGACUGAAACUUAAAGGAAUUGGCGGGGGAGCACAACAAGGGGUGCGGCGUGCGGUUUAAUCCAACUCAACGCGGAGAAUCUCACCAGAGGCGACGGCAGGAUGAAGGUCAGCCUGAAGGGCUUACCCAACGAGCCGAGAGGUGGUGCAUGGCCGUCGUCAGCUCGUGCCGUGAGGUGUCCUGUUGUCAGGCAACGAGCGAGACCUGUACCUACAAUUGCCAGCAACACUUUAUGUGGAUUGGGCACAUUGUAGGGACUGCCUUGGAAACAAGGAGGAAGGUGCAGGCAACGGUAGGUCUGUAUGCCCCGAAUCCUCUGGGCUACACGCGCGCAACAAUGGUAAGGACAAAAGGAUACGACUCCGAAAGGAGAAGUUAACCCUCUAAACCUUAUCUCAGUCCAGAUUGAGGAUUGUAACUCAUCCUCAUGACGCUGGAAUCCCUAGUAAUCAGAUUUUAGCAUAAUCUGGUGAAUAUGUCCCUGCUCCUUGCACACACCGCCCGUCAAACCAACCGAGCAGGGUUUUGGUAAACGCAAUUCUUUAAAUUGUGUGAAUCAGAGCUCAGUGAGGUGGGUUAAGUCGUCACAAGGUA
Molecule: ribosomal RNA, 1433 nt
Filed under: metagenome
Description: bacterial SSU rRNA
Rfam family: Archaeal small subunit ribosomal RNA
Source: RNAcentral